AUGACAAGUGGUGCCCAAACAGGGACUCGGUAUUCAAGGUCUCCUGUGUUGGAUUCGGUCAGUGGGGAGUGCUGCAAUGGUAGACAACUCCCUUUCCACCAGUUUUUGGAUCCUUCAAGAAGUCAGCUAAACUAUCCACCCUUCGGCCAGCCUGCCUGUCCGUCGGGGGAUCCCGCCUUCAGCUCCGCCCUGUCUCCCUUGUCUCCCUUGCAGUGCGCCCUUUCCACCGCGGGCCACUCGCAGGCACUGGGCCCUGGCAGCAGCGCCCGUGCCGGCACCGAGAGGCCCCGGCAGGUGGGGGACAGCGAUCGUCUCCCCCCUUUCAGCCGCACGGCUUUGCAGCCACCGACAGCUCCGGGGCGGGGUGGCGCUGCCACCGCCGGCGAGCGAGCGCUGCAUCUGUNNNNNNNNNNNNNNNNNNNNGCCCCGGGCGGCGCUGCUGCCGCGGCCCCCGCGCUCGGCUGUCCCCCGACAGCCCCCACAGAAACGGGGGCACAGCGCGGCCGAGCCCCUUUGGAGCGGAGCGGGGCCGCGCUCCCGCCGCAGCUCAAACUCAGCACCGCCUCCGACCAACUCUGCUGCUUGGCAACCAGCAUCUGCCGCCGGGCUGUGAAUUUUGGAUUCACAGAGAACCGCCUGGCUUUGAGCGUGACCUACACAGCUGUAAUGAAGUUUUCCAAUGUCAGGAGAAAUUUCAUUCAGAACCAGUACUUGGAAUAUUCAAGAUCCUGCUCCUCACUGAAGGAGGAUAGUCCCACAACCGAAGCAGCACAUUUGGGAGACGAUGGAAAACAUCACAGAUUCCCUGCUGCUAGUGCCUGGACAUGGCUGCAAGGACUUUGAGGGCAUGUGUUGCAUGAACUUUCCAGCCACAGUGGGUCAAUACACAGGAGCAUCCAAGUACUGAAGGAAGUGAGUAAAGAAGUCACAAGUUGAAAAUGGAAAUGACUGGUUGAGUGGACUUUUCAAAAACUGGGGUUUGCACCUAGGUUGCUAUCAUUGGUUAAAACAGGUUUGCUUGUUCUUACAGUUAUUUUUGUUGUAUUGUUAAUGUUACCUUGCUUAAUAACUUUUUUUUAAGGGUUGUCAGGAAGUCUAUUCAAGAAAUUUUAAUUGCUCAAAAGGAAGGGGGAUAUGUAGAGAUGGAAUUGGCUUGGCAUCAGCUUAAGACUGUGAGAUGUUAGCAAGCCUGUUCAUAUAAGGUUAUGCUUCCAGAAUGUUCUUAGUUCUCAUCCCUGAUCGAUUGUCGUUUGGCACAUUAUUUUUAAUACUCAUAAUCUCAGUCUGUGAUUGAACCCUGCCUCCAGAUCCACCUCAGAUCUUCCUUACAUAUAUUGUUGUAGCCAUGUUUUUUGCACCUUUUGUGGUUGACCCUAUGCUGUGUGUUUGCCUUCUGCUGUUUGUUAUCUUGCCAUUAAAGCAAUUUUACUUUUCGGGUCACCCAACCGUGCCCGUCCUGUUUAUUUGCCACACCACUCCUGGCUGGCCUGGGUCCAGGGUUGUGAAGCCAAAACUUGACACAAAAUCUUAAGAGUAUCAAUAUUUAGGUGUCAUAGGAUGCUCUUAAGAUGUACAACUCCUUCCUUCAUCUUUUUCCAUGUGUAUGCCAAUAUUGCAUCCCUGUGCUGCACUGCUCAUCCUCAUCCCACAAAGGCCUUUCUCUUCCAUCCCCCUCCAGCUCAGACUCAGCACUCAUUCCCCAAAGCUGAGUGGAGUGACCUGGAGAACGUGAGGACACCCUAAUUCACCUGUUAAUAAGAGAUAAAGAACAUGUACAUACCCUUCCUAUAGGUUUUCCUCAAGUCCAUACUUGCUUUCUUUCAACACACCUUGGAUAUGCCAGCUUUCCUCUCUUACACUGUACUUGAAAUAAAGUUGUGCCAGAUUCUGCUCCA
RNAcentral lists this long non-coding RNA (1895 nucleotides) under Cyanistes caeruleus (blue tit). RNAcentral's name for it is "lncRNA (ENSCCEG00000022473.1)". The record is from RNAcentral. Lineage: Eukaryota; Metazoa; Chordata; Aves; Passeriformes; Paridae.